Molecule: ribosomal RNA, 253 nt
Filed under: uncultured bacterium
Lineage: Bacteria
Description: partial 16S ribosomal RNA
Rfam family: Bacterial small subunit ribosomal RNA
Source: RNAcentral
UACGGGGGGGGCAAGCGUUGUUCGGAAUUACUGGGCGUAAAGGGCUCGUAGGUGGCCAACUAAGUCAUGCGUGAAAUCCCUCGGCUUAACCCGGGAACUGCGUCCGAUACUGGCAGGCUUGAAUCCGGGAGAGGGAUGCGGAAUUCCAGGUGUAGCGGUGAAAUGCGUAGAUAUCUGGAGGAACACCGGUGGCGAAGGCGGCAUCCUGGACCGGCAUUGACGCUGAGGCGCGAAAGCCAGGGGAGCAAACGGG